CGCACCUUGCACUCUGUUUUGCAGAGUAUGCCUGUUUGAGAAUCUAUAGUAUUUUUCAACAUUUGUUGAAGAUUUGGAUCGUGUUGACAAACUGAUCUUAAUACUAUAUCUUUGAGUUGUUUGUAUGACGACGUACAUGAUCAGAGAGAUGAAGGGUUCGCCCAACUUCCUUUGUGAAUUGUGCUAGUAGAACAAUUGAAAGCCAACAUUUUUUAAAUCUUGGUCUCAAAUCAGGUAGGAAGACCCGCUGAACUUAA
Molecule: unclassified non-coding RNA, 257 nt
Filed under: Chytridiales sp.
Lineage: Eukaryota; Fungi; Chytridiomycota; Chytridiomycetes; Chytridiales
Description: partial contains 5.8S ribosomal RNA, internal transcribed spacer 2, and large subunit ribosomal RNA
Source: RNAcentral